Molecule: long non-coding RNA, 358 nt
Filed under: Mus musculus (house mouse)
Lineage: Eukaryota; Metazoa; Chordata; Mammalia; Rodentia; Muridae
Description: long non-coding RNA chr6:57278021-57278379
Source: RNAcentral
AUGUUCUCAUUAGAGAAUGUCCUUCAUUUUCAAGCUGGACUUGGAGUCCUAGCCAAUAUGAUUCUGCUAGCAUUUUAUAUUUUCUUAAUCCUAAAUCACAGACCUAAGCCCAUUGGCCUAAUCUCCUGCCAUCUGACCUUUGCUCACAUAGUGAUGAUCCUCACUGGAGGAAGUAUCAUGCUUACAGACAUAGUUGGGUCUCUGAAUGUUGAGAAUGGCAUCAAAUGUAAGGCAACUCUAAACACAAACAGGGUGAUGAGAGGCCUCUCUAUCUGCAUCACCUGCCUCCUGCGUGUGUUCCAAGCUGUCACAAUUAGUCCCAGUAGCUCUCUACUGGCAAAUUUAAACAUAAACUAAA